This is a non-coding RNA of Potamilus streckersoni, 73 nucleotides long. NCBI's taxonomy places the organism in Eukaryota, Metazoa, Mollusca, Bivalvia, Unionida, Unionidae. The record is from the annotation of a GenBank genome assembly.
ACUUUGGUGGCCUAGUGGUUAGAGUGUCUUCCUCGGAUGCAGGAUGUCUUGGGUUCGAUCCCUGGCUGAAUCA